This 496-nucleotide ribosomal RNA is filed under the name uncultured bacterium. RNAcentral's name for it is "partial 16S ribosomal RNA". It matches the Rfam family "Bacterial small subunit ribosomal RNA", at positions 28 to 507 of the family's 1533-position model. The record is from RNAcentral.
GAUGAACGCUGGCGGCGUGCCUAAUACGUGCAAGUCGAGCGAACAGAUAAGGAGCUUGCUCCUUUGACGUUAGCGGCGGACGGGUGAGUAACACGUGGGUAACCUACCUAUAAGACUGGGAUAACUUCGGGAAACCGGAGCUAAUACCGGAUAAUAUUUCGAACCGCAUGGUUCGAUAGUGAAAGAUGGUUUUGCUAUCACUUAUAGAUGGACCCGCGCCGUAUUAGCUAGUUGGUAAGGUAACGGCUUACCAAGGCGACGAUACGUAGCCGACCUGAGAGGGUGAUCGGCCACACUGGAACUGAGACACGGUCCAGACUCCUACGGGAGGCAGCAGUAGGGAAUCUUCCGCAAUGGGCGAAAGCCUGACGGAGCAACGCCGCGUGAGUGAUGAAGGUCUUCGGAUCGUAAACUCUGUUAUUAGGGAAGAACAUACGUGUAAGUAACUGUGCACGUCUUGACGGUACCUAAUCAGAAAGCCACGGCUAACUACGUG